CACCUGGCCAAUCAUAGGAGACUAAGGAAAGCAAGAGGCAGCCAUUUGAUUGGACAAGUACAGGCCUGGAAUUUCAUCCUGUGAAGAGGGCACAGCUAGUGCCAAAGUAAUCACCUAAUACACAACCCCCAGAAGCAUUAUGCUGACAGAUCCUGAUGUUCCCCUUCUGUGUUUUCAUUGGAGCUGUGCAGUUAUGUCUUCAAUCAAAUGGAAAUAUGCUGUGAGAGAUGCUGAAUGGAAUUUUUUAAAAGGCAAUGAGGAUCACAGUGACUACUCCUUGCUGAUUUCUGGUGGGGAAGGAAUAGCAGGAAAAUAAACUAAACACGAAAAAAUCGUUGUUUCUUCCACAUUGCCAUGUAAAGAUACUUUGCUUGCUGUGUUCUAUACACAUUUAAUCAGAUCAGUCUAGCUGAUAAAAUAAAAGCUCCCCUCCCCUGGCCCCAUGCUAAUUAUUCUUGUUAAUUAUUUUUUAAUUAUCUUUCUAUCACUGCUUCUAGAACAACUGUCAUAAUUUCCACCUCAGAGGCUCCAGACAUGACAUACCUAUAAACGUAGUAUCAAGGAUGGUGGCUGGUGUGUGAAUGCUUUCAGAAGAAACACAGAAGAGAAAUCAAACCCAAAUGCCAUUCUUAGCACAUUACGAUGGCGGAGACACAGAGGGCAAUAUUCAGGAUAAUAGGAGAAGAGAAGAGGAGGGACACCGCAGAAGCACAGCCAUGAGACGGCAGACACGGGUAACGGUGGUAUCAGAUUACAGUAGCCUUUACAGGAUGAUUCCCUCUGGCCCUGUUUGAAGCAGUUAAGUAACAGUGUUUUUAAAAAAAUUUAAUGUAAAUAUGUAUACUGUGACAGAAAUUGCAUCUUUGGUAAUCAUUUAAACUUCAGAUAGAAAAAAAUUAUGUCAAUUAAUGUUUGAACGAAUAAGAAAUUAUUCAGCAUUAUGUGGGGUAAUGCAGGCAAAUGUGUGAAGAUCAGUUAAUAGUUAAUCUUUAAUUUUUCUUCCAAUUGUUAAAUUCUGUGAUUCAAGGCACUUUUAUUUGAAAUAUACAAACAAAAUUUAAAUAAAUAUUAAAUUUUUUUUUCUUCUUGAACUCA
Molecule: long non-coding RNA, 1095 nt
Filed under: Bos indicus x Bos taurus (hybrid cattle)
Lineage: Eukaryota; Metazoa; Chordata; Mammalia; Artiodactyla; Bovidae
Description: lncRNA (ENSBIXG00005011061.1)
Source: RNAcentral